This 253-nucleotide ribosomal RNA is filed under the name uncultured bacterium. RNAcentral describes it as "partial 16S ribosomal RNA". It matches the Rfam family "Bacterial small subunit ribosomal RNA", at positions 524 to 776 of the family's 1533-position model. The record is from RNAcentral.
UACGGGGGGGGCAAGCGUUGUUCGGAAUUACUGGGCGUAAAGGGCGCGUAGGCGGCCUGCUAAGUCGGACGUGAAAUCCCUCGGCUCAACCGGGGAACUGCGUCCGAUACUGGUGGGCUCGAAUCCGGGAGAGGGAUGCGGAAUUCCAGGUGUAGCGGUGAAAUGCGUAGAUAUCUGGAGGAACACCGGUGGCGAAGGCGGCAUCCUGGACCGGUAUUGACGCUGAUGCGCGAAAGCCAGGGGAGCAAACGGG